UGACGGGGGGCAAUUCCGGCAUUUCCCGCCCGAAUCGUCGGCGAAAGAAAAUAUAAGCACGGCACGGACCCGUGAAAUCCCACUGGCCGCCCACCGUCCUCUCCCUCCCUCGCUGCUGCAAGUUCCUUCCUUUUGCGCGACGACUUCCUCGCUCGAAGGGCCUUCCCUCGCCUUCCGCCAUGACUCAUAUCCUUCGAUCUCUCCGUCUCUUUUGUGGGUUUUUCUUCUUUUUUUUGUUUUUGUGGGUACUUCGACGUGCGUUGAUUUGCUCGCAGCGUUCCGUUUCGAUGAUGCCCCCCCGGUCUUUGCUUCGAGAUUUUUUUUUUUUUUUUUGGUCAGACUUUGUUUCGAGAUUCGAUCGUGCCUUUUUGAAUGUUUUGCUCGCUUGCUCGCUUGAAUUUCGAAGAAGGGUCGCGAAAGGAUUCGUGGGUUCCUCUUGCUUUUCCUUGAUUCCUCUCCUUUGAUCUUGAUGUUGAUGUGCACGCGGCAAUCAGAGAGAUCGCGACAGGGAGAGAGCCCAGGCGCGGGGUACCAAGAAGGGGAGCACCAAGGACGACGGCUUGACUGUCGAGCAGCGCCGCGAAAGGUCGGUCCUUUCGAUCUCCAUUAGGGUUUAAGCGAUGGUGAUUUUUGGAGGGUUGUUUGUUUUUUUUUUGGUCCUUUGAUUAAUGAUUUGGUAGCUCCUGUUUUUUCCUUACCGAUGAUGUUCCGAUGUGGGUUUGGUGGUGAAUUUAAUCGGGGGGUUUUGUUUGAUCGGAUCGAUUUAGGGAUGCGAAGGCCUUGCAGGAGAAGUUGGCAAAGAAGGCGGGCCAGGGGGGAGCCAGCGGGGAUGCCGGAGGUAGUAGCAGCGGCAAAAAAUGAAGGGCGUCGGUCCAAUUGGGUUGAUUUCUCCUUUUCCUCCUGAGGGUGUCUUUUGUUCAGUAUUUCUGGGUGGACAUAGUUUCCAUAUGAAGAACAAGACGUGAGUUUGACUGGGUUUGUUGGUUAUGUUUCCGAUUAUACAAUGUCGAGAAGUUUCGUGGUUGUUAAGAAUCUAAUCCAUCAUUGUCAUGUAUUUGUAUCGGUGAUCAUCUAUUAUCAGUGUCAAUGACUGGUAGUCUUUAUGGAAUGUCCUUCUACAACUCGAGCAUUUUAUGAAGCUAUUAGUAAACACUGCGAGAGUUUGCUGCAUGAUUGACAACGCAGGUGAGUAUGUGAUGAUGUCGAGUGCCUGCGGAAAUAGAAUGAAUUGAUUAGAAUCUAUUAAUUUGAAGUCAACUAUAAUAUAUUAAGCUUGAGAGGUGGCAAUGUCCUGUCUGUAUUCUUCCUUCUUCUUCUUCUUCUUCUUUUAUUCUCAAAUCUUAGGGUGUGAAGUAAUGGAAGAUCUAGCGAGAUGGAAGAUCUAGUGAUUUGCUAUUCGCAUUGGUUCCAUCAUUUGUUUGGUUGACACAUGAUUUCCGGCCAAAUGGUGUGGCCUAAUGAUUUUUAACUAGCUAUAAGUGGUGAAGUAUAGUUGAAACGCACUGAUUGCAUUGUCAUGAUGCAUGUCUGGAGAGUGGCUUGAUUGCCAGGAAUGUCAGACCUACAUAGUUCUAGAUAUAGUUUGAAUUUCAACUUGGAUGUCACGAUUGUAUCUGAUUUGAGUCUUCAUUAUUCAAUAAUACUCUAAACUCCUAAAUUGCUUGUGAAUUUGUUGAUUAAGUGCCCAUUCAAUGAUACUAUAAAUUUCUCAAUUGCUUGGUAUGAAUCUAUCAUGUGCCAAUUCAUCAUUUACUAUCUCUUUGUUCUCCUAGAAGGUGUGGCUUCCAUCAUAUUCACAGCCGAAAUGACAUUUUAACCAUUUCGGAACAGUGCUAAGGUUUCUGGGCUGUGUCAUGAUUCUUCAUUUGCAUUAUUCUGGAUGUAUAUAACCUUUUAAUGUUUGCCUUGAAGUGCAAAAGUUGUCUGAGAGAAUGAGUUUUUAGAAAUAUUAGAAAUAUUUACUCUUGUAGGUAGAAAUGAAUGUGUGCAGUUCACGGCAUGGUAUGUCCAUCAUUGAUCAUGAAAUUGCUUAAUGAGUUAAACAUAUUGUACUGAAGGCGUAUGCGCUGCAUGUCUGUGUGAAGAUAAGAAAAAAUGGAAAAGUGAGACAAUGGUUUUAGCUUAAUAUAUACUGACAGGCACUUUUCUAAGUUUUGACAUUUGAAGCAUUUCAUGAUUUCCUCUUGUAUCUGUUGAUCCACCAGAUGAAAUAUGUCCUCAAUUAUAUUUUUGCUGCUAUUGGUUUUUAAAGAUCGAUUCUUCAAUUGGUUAGCUUCGAUGCAAAGCUUGUAAAUUGAUUUGGCAUGUGGUUUUUGUGUGAGGAAGAGUCAUGGGUUGACAUUCUAAUUCAAGCUGGAAGUAGAAUGAAGAUUAUCAUCUUAGGAAACCUUAUUCUCAUCUUAGUUUGAUGAUCCUUCAAAUUUUCGUCUUCCCCUGUCAUCUUUAUGUCAAAUGAACGAGGAUUCUCAGUUUUUUACAAAAGUUUUACUGCCCAGUAGAUAAUGAUUCACCAUGAUUCAUUCUUCUUGGAACUAUUGAUUGUAUAUACCCAACAUGUUGUUGUCUUGUAGAUCUCUAUGGAUCGGUUAAAUACAGUAGAUCAUUGUGCUUAGUAGUAUGUGUUGUAUAUAGUUGAAAUGAUGUUGGCUUUUAGAAUUCUUUGAAUCUGCUAAGUUUUGUGCAAUGCCUUUCUGUUGGUUUAAAUAAACAUUAUGUCGUCGUAGCCAUAGAAAGUUCUGUGAGCCUUUAUGUGUUUCGUCUUCCCUAGUUCACAAAUCAGCAGCACAUAUUAGUGGUCGAUUAAUUUCAAUGCGGAUGUUUCUUUUAAGGUGUUGUAAGGAUGUUUUGAUCCAUUUUCAAUCAUAGUGUAGGUGAGAGAGCUAGGAGGACUGAAUCCAGAUCAUUCUUCAUUGAAUGUAGGACGACACAUUGAGAAUUCGCAUUUUGGGCUAUAUUUAUGUUGGAGGACUAUGGCAGAAUUCGGAUUGUGGGGUUGAUGGCAUUUUAAACCUUUUAAUAAGUCUUAAAGAUAGUAAAUUGGCAGUUCUCUCAGAGUGAUCAUUGUAAGUAAAGGUGAGAUCUGUGCAUCAGGUUCACUGGAAUGGCCUGUGAAGGAUCAACAUGGCCAAAUCAAUGUGUGAAUCAACGUCAGAGAGUAGUGAGCUUCAAUAAUGACGAAUUGUUCAUGAAAACUGUAGUGUUUCCAAAUCACUGUGAGAAU
RNAcentral lists this long non-coding RNA (3220 nucleotides) under Eucalyptus grandis. Its description in RNAcentral is "long non-coding RNA (EGRA_LNC004497)". The record is from RNAcentral. Lineage: Eukaryota; Viridiplantae; Streptophyta; Magnoliopsida; Myrtales; Myrtaceae.